RNAcentral lists this ribosomal RNA (479 nucleotides) under uncultured Verrucomicrobiaceae bacterium. RNAcentral describes it as "bacterial SSU rRNA". It matches the Rfam family "Bacterial small subunit ribosomal RNA", at positions 29 to 505 of the family's 1533-position model. The record is from RNAcentral. Lineage: Bacteria; Pseudomonadati; Verrucomicrobiota; Verrucomicrobiia; Verrucomicrobiales; Verrucomicrobiaceae.
AAUGAACGCUAGCGGCGUGUUUAAGACAUGCAAGUCGGACGAAACGGAGAGAAGCUUGCUUUUUGAAGUUUAGUGACGGACGGGUGAGUAACGCGUGAUCACCUGCCUUAAAGAGGGGGAUAGUCCUGGGAAACUGGGUUUAAUACCGCAUGUGCCUUUUGGUAAAGAAGCCUUCGGGUUUCGCUUUAAGAUGGGAUCGCGUCCUAUCAGUUAGUUGGUGAGGUAAAGGCUCACCAAGGCGACGACGGGUAGCUGGUCUUAGAGGACGAUCAGCCACACUGGUACUGAGACACGGACCAGACACCUACGGGUGGCAGCAGUCGAGAAUCAUUCACAAUGGGGGCAACCCUGAUGGUGCAACGCCGCGUGGAGGAAGAAGGCCUUUGGGUUGUAAACUCCUGUCAUGUAGGAGUAAGUCAUGUUAGUUAAAAGCUGAGCAUGAUUGAUAGUACUACAAGAGGAAGGGACGGCAAACUUCG